Molecule: ribosomal RNA, 424 nt
Filed under: uncultured bacterium
Lineage: Bacteria
Description: partial 16S ribosomal RNA
Rfam family: Bacterial small subunit ribosomal RNA
Source: RNAcentral
GAAUAUUGGACAAUGGGGGGAACCCUGAUCCAGCCAUGCCGCGUGUGUGAAGAAGGCCUUUUGGUUGUAAAGCACUUUAAGCGAGGAGGAGGAGCUCUUGGUUAAUACCCAAGAUGCUUGGACGUUACUCGCAGAAUAAGCACCGGCUACCUCUGUGCCAGCAGCCGCGGUAAUACAGAGGGUGCAAGCGUUAAUCGGAAUUACUGGGCGUAAAGCGAGCGUAGGUGGCUUGAUAAGUCAGAUGUGAAAUCCCCGGGCUUAACCUGGGAACUGCAUCUGAUACUGUUAGGCUAGAAUAGGUGAGAGGAAGGUAGAAUUCCAGGUGUAGCGGUGAAAUGCGUAGAGAUCUGGAGGAAUACCGAUGGCGAAGGCAGCCUCCUGGCCUAAUACUGACACUGAGGUGCGAAAGCAUGGGGAGCAAACA